RNAcentral lists this unclassified non-coding RNA (354 nucleotides) under soil metagenome. RNAcentral's name for it is "partial contains 5.8S ribosomal RNA, internal transcribed spacer 2, and large subunit ribosomal RNA". The stretch from base 1 to 121 matches the Rfam family "5.8S ribosomal RNA", at positions 35 to 154 of the family's 154-position model. The record is from RNAcentral.
GAUGAAGAACGCAAGUGAAAUGCGAUAAGUAAUGUGAAUUGCAGAAUUCAGUGAAUCAUCGAAUCUUUGAACGCACAUUGCGCCCGCCAGUAUUCUGGCGGGCAUGCCUGUUCGAGCGUCAUUACAACCCUCAGGCCCCCGGGCCUGGCGUUGGGGAUCGGCGGAAGCCCCCUGCGGGCACAACGCCGUCCCCCAAAUACAGUGGCGGUCCCGCCGCAGCUUCCAUUGCGUAGUAGCUAACACCUCGCAACUGGAGAGCGGCGCGGCCACGCCGUAAAACACCCAACUUCUGAAUGUUGACCUCGAAUCAGGUAGGAAUACCCGCUGAACUUAAGCAUAUCAAUAAGCGGAGGA